This 86-nucleotide ribosomal RNA is filed under the name Lentinula edodes (shiitake mushroom). Its description in RNAcentral is "5.8S ribosomal RNA". It matches the Rfam family "5.8S ribosomal RNA", at positions 1 to 85 of the family's 154-position model. Rfam says of the family: 5.8S ribosomal RNA (5.8S rRNA) is a component of the large subunit of the eukaryotic ribosome. The record is from Rfam by way of RNAcentral. Lineage: Eukaryota; Fungi; Basidiomycota; Agaricomycetes; Agaricales; Omphalotaceae.
CAACUUCAGCAACGGAUCUCUUGGCCCUCCCAUCGAUCGAAGAACGCAGCGAAAUGCGAUAAGUAAUGUGAAUUGCAGAAUUCAGU